RNAcentral lists this unclassified non-coding RNA (148 nucleotides) under soil metagenome. RNAcentral's name for it is "partial internal transcribed spacer 1". The record is from RNAcentral.
CCGAGUUUACAACUCCCAGACCCCUGUGAACAUACCUUAAGUUGCCUCGGCGGAUCAGCCCGCGCCCCGUAAAAAGGGACGGCCCGCCGCAGGAAACCCUAAACUCUGUUUUUAGUGGAACUUCUGAGUAUAAAAAACAAAUAAAUCA